Molecule: ribosomal RNA, 1346 nt
Filed under: Coptotermes gestroi
Lineage: Eukaryota; Metazoa; Arthropoda; Insecta; Blattodea; Rhinotermitidae
Description: bacterial LSU rRNA
Source: RNAcentral
GUAGAGACUGGCGGAGGUAGAGCACUGAAUUCCUAGGGGCGUCAAAGACUUACCGAAGAAUAUCAAACUCCGAAUGCCGCAAAGUUGCUUACCGGGAGUCAGACUGCACGAGAUAAGUUGGGCAGUCAAAAGGGAAAGAGCCCAGACCUUCAGCUAAGGUCCCAAAGUGCGUGUUAAGUGGAAAAGGAUGUGGGAUUUCGAAGACAACCAGGAUGUUGGCUCAGAAGCAGCCAUCCAUUCAAAGAGUGCGUAAUAGCUCACUGGUCGAGAGGUCCUGCGCCGAAAAUGUCCGGGGCUAAAACACGCCACCGAAGCUAAGGAAUGAUACGACGUAUCAUUGGUAGAGGAGCAUUCUUAAGGGGACGAAGCUGUACCGUAAGGAGCAGUGGACGCUUAAGAAGAGAGAAUGCCGGAAUGAGUAGCGAGAUGAAGGUGGGAAUCCUUCAGGCCGAAUAUCUAAGGUUUCCAGGGUAAAGCUGAUCUGCCCUGGGUAAGUCGGGGCCUAAGGCGAGGCUGAAAAGCGUAGCCGAUGGACAACAGGUUGAGAUUCCUGUACUGCAGUAAAACAGAACUGUGGGGACACAGAGGGAAAGCACAAGCCGGGAAUGGAAAGACCGGCACAAGCGGGGUAUCCGUAUGGAAGGCAAAUCCGCCAUACAAGGAGAAGACGUGACGUGUACCGAAAAUUAGUAGGGAAGUGUGUGAGCCAGCUGUCGAGAAAAGCCGCUAUUGUUUUUACUGCACCCGUACCGUAAACCGACACAGGUGGAUGAGGAGAGAAUCCUAAGGCCGACGGAAGAAGCAUUGUCAAGGAACUCGGCAAAAUGACCCCGUAACUUCGGGAGAAGGGGUGCCCCUUUAAGGAGGGGCCGCAGAGAAUAGGCCCAAGCAACUGUUUAGCAAAAACACAGGUCUAUGCAAAACCGCAAGGUGAAGUAUAUGGGCUGACGCCUGCCCGGUGCUGGAAGGUUAAGGGGAGAUGUCAGUGCGUAAGCACGAAGCAUUGAACUUAAGCCCCAGUAAACGGCGGCCGUAACAAUAACGGUCCUAAGGUAGCGAAAUUCCUUGUCGGGUAAGUUCCGACCCGCACGAAAGGCGUAAUGAUUUGGGCGCUGUCUCGACAAUGCAUCCGGUGAAAUUGAAGUACCAGUGAAGAUGCUGGUUACCCGCGCCAGGACGGAAAGACCCCAUGGAGCUUUACUCCAGUUUGGCACUGGGAUUCGAUAUUGCAUGUACAGGAUAGGCGGGAGGCAAGUGAAGUAGAGACGCCAGUCWCGACGGAGCCGAUGUUGGGAUACCGCCCUUGCAGCAUUGGGUUCUAACCCGCACCGUGAACCGGUGGGGGA